CAAGAGUUAGUCAAUGCGAUUACUCCCCAGAUGGAAUAUCGGAAUACUGAUGAAGA
Small RNA from Lactobacillus crispatus ST1, 56 nucleotides. It matches the Rfam family "Transposase-1 RNA". From Rfam's summary of the family: Lactobacillales (Firmicutes). Environment (Human Microbiome Project, vagina) The record is from Rfam. NCBI's taxonomy places the organism in Bacteria, Bacillati, Bacillota, Bacilli, Lactobacillales, Lactobacillaceae.